Molecule: ribosomal RNA, 254 nt
Filed under: uncultured bacterium
Lineage: Bacteria
Description: partial 16S ribosomal RNA
Rfam family: Bacterial small subunit ribosomal RNA
Source: RNAcentral
CACGUAGGGGGCAAGCGUUGUCCGGAUUUAUUGGGCGUAAAGAGCUCGUAGGUGGUUCGGUAAGUCGGGUGUUAAACCCCCAGGCUCAACCUGGGGACGCCACUCGAUACUGCUGUGACUAGAGUCCGGUAGGGGAGCGUGGAAUUCCUGGUGUAGCGGUGAAAUGCGCAGAUAUCAGGAGGAACACCGGUGGCGAAGGCGGCUCUCUGGACCGAGACUGACGCUGAGGCGCGAAAGCGUGGGGAGCAAACAGG